Molecule: ribosomal RNA, 430 nt
Filed under: bacterium
Lineage: Bacteria
Description: partial 16S ribosomal RNA
Rfam family: Bacterial small subunit ribosomal RNA
Source: RNAcentral
UGGGGAAUAUUGGACAAUGGGCGCAAGCCUGAUCCAGCCAUGCCGCGUGUGUGAAGAAGGCCUUUUGGUUGUAAAGCACUUUAAGCGAGGAGGAGGCUACUUGGAUUAAUACUCUAGGAUAGUGGACGUUACUCGCAGAAUAAGCACCGGCUAACUCUGUGCCAGCAGCCGCGGUAAUACAGAGGGUGCGAGCGUUAAUCGGAUUUACUGGGCGCAAAGCGUGCGUAGGCGGCUUCUUAAGUCGGAUGUGAAAUCCCUGAGCUUAACUUAGGAAUUGCAUUCGAUACUGGGAAGCUAGAGUAUGGGAGAGGAUGGUAGAAUUCCAGGUGUAGCGGUGAAAUGCGUAGAGAUCUGGAGGAAUACCGAUGGCGAAGGCAGCCAUCUGGCCUAAUACUGACGCUGAGGUACGAAAGCAUGGGGAGCAAACAGG